Molecule: ribosomal RNA, 550 nt
Filed under: Yamadazyma mexicana
Lineage: Eukaryota; Fungi; Ascomycota; Pichiomycetes; Serinales; Debaryomycetaceae
Description: LSU rRNA
Rfam family: Eukaryotic large subunit ribosomal RNA
Source: RNAcentral
CCCSSGGGGGKAAUGCCUUUAGUAGCGGCGAGUGAGCGGCAAUAGCUCAAAUUUGAAAUCUGGCACCUUCGGUGUCCGAGUUGUAAUUUGAAGAAGGUAUCUUUGGUUUUGGCUCUUGUCUAUGUUCCUUGGAACAGGACGUCACAGAGGGUGAGAAUCCCGUGCGAUGAGAUGCCCAAUUCCAUGUAAAGUUCCUUCGACGAGUCGAGUUGUUUGGGAAUGCAGCUCUAAGUGGGUGGUAAAUUCCAUCUAAAGCUAAAUAUUGGCGAGAGACCGAUAGCGAACAAGUACUGUGAAGGAAAGAUGAAAAGAACUUUGAAAAGAGAGUGAAAAAGUACGUGAAAUUGUUGAAAGGGAAGGGCUUGAGGUCAGACUUGGUUUUACCAGGCCAGCAUCAGUUUGGAUGGCAGGAUAAUAGCUUAGGAAUGUGGCACUGCUUCGGUAGUGUGUUAUAGCCUGGGUUGAUACUGCCUGUCUAGACUGAGGACUGCGUCUUUGACUAGGAUGCUGGCAUAAUGACCUUAAGCCGCCCGUCUUGAAACACRGACCA